RNAcentral lists this long non-coding RNA (1743 nucleotides) under Citrus x clementina. Its description in RNAcentral is "Citrus clementina (C. clementina) long non-coding RNA (CCLE_LNC003451)". The record is from RNAcentral. Lineage: Eukaryota; Viridiplantae; Streptophyta; Magnoliopsida; Sapindales; Rutaceae.
CCACAACGAAUCACAAUUUUAAUAACUAAUCUAAUCUAAUAUAAUAUUUGCUCUUAAUUUGCUCUGAUUUAACUAUUGUAUUGUAAAGGGAAUAGUCCACAUUUAUAAAGUGCAUACGCCACCAUUGAAAAAGUUAAUUUUGAAUCUAAAUUUGAUUUUAUUUGCAACAAUUUUAUAUUAAACUAUUAAUUUGCUCAUGAUAGUUUGUAAAAGAAGUUUGUAUCCCUUGCAUGCUACGUUACUUACUAAUUUAAUGUAUGUGACUUUUGUAAUGGAUAUUAAUGUAAGAUAUAUUUCGAACUUUACUUUUAUUUGAAUUUUUUAUUUUAAUAUGAUUAACUCAAAAUCGAAAAAAAAAUGCAUUAGUUAUUCGGGGAUCGGGGACCCUCGGGGAUCCCCUGUUAUUAUUCGGGGAGUGGAUGAAGAUUCUCUCAAGUAAUUCUGACAGGGACGGGGUCAUACGCAAAUAUCGAGGAUGGGUAAUCCCCUGUUAUUAUUCGGGGAGUGGAUGAAGAUUCUCUCAAGUAAUUCUGACAGGGACGGGGUCAUACGCAAAUAUCGAGGAUGGGUACGGAGAGAUUGGUCCCCUCCCCUCCCCUCCCCUCCCCAUUGCCAUUCCUAAUUCUUAGCCCACCCCACCUCGCAAAUACUCUGGAAUAGUCACAUUGUUAAGAUAUAAUUUUGGAUAAAAUAAAUCAACAUGCACAUUUAUUAUGCGACUAAUUUCGCCAUAAUCUAGACUUUUGAAGAUGAGGAUGAAUGAGACAGUUGAAAAAGAAAAAGGUCAUUGAGAGAUUUUUGUUGGUAUUAGAACUUAUUCAAUGUAAUGGUUGAAAAAGGAAUAGAAUCUUGGUUCCGCUGAAAACGGAAAUAAAAGGAAAAGAUGGAAUUCAUGAAUAAUUUUAGUGUGAAUUUAAAAAGUAAAAAAAAAAUCAUUGUGCUAUUAUUUAUAAUGAGUAAUGAUUUUAUCAGGUGACAUUAUUUGGUUAUGGUAAGUGGUAAGUUAUAUUAUCACGGUAUCACCGGGUGUUGUUUGACUAAUUUACAAAUUUAAUAUUAUUAAUAAAUAAUCAUACAAUUGUGUCACGUAUCUAAAUACUCAUUAUAUAGUAGUAUGAAAUUGCUCACUAAAUUAUUUUCUUUAUUAUAAUAUUACAUAAAAUAAGUUAUAUACGAGAUACAUACGCUUAAUAAGAACAAAUAUAGAAGUUGAAAGGAGUAUAGCUGUUUUUAGUUAGAAAAUGGUGAAUCCCUUUUUGCUUUAAGAGAUAGCAUUAUGUUGAGUAAGAAAGCACUAUGUGAAUUUUAAUUAUGAAUUGAUUAAUUAUUAUUAAAAGGCCGGCAGAGAAGAAAUACUAUAUUUUUAAAAGUAAUGGGAAUGGAGACAAACAAGAAACUGUGAUUCCUUUUCAGAAUUGCAUAAUUUUAGCCUAAACCUAUGGGCAUAUAUAAUUUAAUAUUAAUAAAGAUGAUUUAAACUCAUCAGUCAAUCAUGAUGAUGGCCUUGUGAAUUCAUAUUAUAGAAUAGAAGGAUAAUGACAUUUGGGUCCUCUUAUAUAUUAUCUUUAUUACUUAGGUUUUUUUUUAUAAGAUCUUUAUUACUGGGGUUCUUAAUAAGUUUUUAAUAACUCAUUUCAUUUCACUUAAGGAAUGAGCACUAUAUAAAGGGUUAACACAUUAAGAGUAAGUUUGGUAUAUUAUAUUAUAUUAUGCUGUAUUAUAUUAUUUUAAUACAUGUGUAUU